AUUUUGGACAAUGGGGGAAACCCUGAUCCAGCCAUCCCGCGUGUGCGAUGAAGGCCUUCGGGUUGUAAAGCACUUUUGUCAGGGAAGAAAAGGUUCUGGCUAAUACCAGGAACUGAUGACGGUACCCGAAGAAUAAGCACCGGCUAACUACGUGCCAGCAGCCGCGGUAAUACGUAGGGUGCAAGCGUUAAUCGAAAUUAAUGGGCGUAAAGAGUGUGUAUGCGGGUCGGAAAGAAAGAUGUGAAAAACCAGGGCUCAAACAUGGAAAUGCAUUUUUAACAGCCGAGAUAGAGAAUGUCAGAGAGGGGGAGAAUUCCACGUGUAGAAGUGAAAUACGUGGAUAUGUGGAGGAAUACAGAUGGCGAGAGCAGCCCCCUGGGAGAAUACUGACGCUCAGACACGAAAGCGUGGGGAGCAAACAGG
This 423-nucleotide ribosomal RNA is filed under the name uncultured bacterium. Its description in RNAcentral is "partial 16S ribosomal RNA". It matches the Rfam family "Bacterial small subunit ribosomal RNA", at positions 361 to 776 of the family's 1533-position model. The record is from RNAcentral.